GGCACUGGGAUUACAAGCGUGUCCUGACCUUCACGUUCUAUCAGGAGAGACAGUCUUUGAACAUGAUUUCACUCAUACAGGGGCAUGAAGAAGGAGGAAAAGGAUGCAGGAAAGAAUUUAAGAGGCAAAGUGGAUGUGAUAAAGGAACGAGAAGAUCAUGAGAAAAGAUGAAAAAGAGAACAGUGACUGACCCAUGUCAUGAAGCAUCAGUUUCUAAACUUUGCUGUAUGCAGGCUCAAUGGCAUCCCUCUUCAGGAAGGAGCUUCCUGUGUUUUCUCUGGGAACUCACCUGUUUUCCACUCCAGACUCUCCAAGAUAUGCAGAGCUUUGGGCCAGGAUCCUACAGCCACGGGUCAUGCAGAGCCAGUUGGCCACAUCCUUUGGGCCAAAUUUGGUCCUAACCAGGUCUUACCACGGUAACUGCUAACCAGUCCAUCUUCAGUUAAUAUUUCAUGCGUAAGAUGUUUCAUGAAGUAACUGAAUGGGCUAAUGGGUUGUUCACUGGAUAAGACUCCCAGAUACUCCCUUUCAUGCCAUUCCCCAGAAUUCCUUCACCUCCCAGUGCUGUCUGUAAGGGUGAAGAUACUCCAUUUUGCCCCAUGCUCUUUGCUGUGCCCCAGAUAGGCUCAAACAUUUUUCCCUUUUGGGGAUUUUGCAGGUAGGAAUUGUUGAACAUCUUACCAUUUAAUCCAGAAGUUAUGUCCUUUAAGGAAUCGACCCUGAGCCUGUGAGUUUUACUUUGGGUUGGGGGUGAAGGAGUGGACCUUGCAGCAUUCAAGGUCAUCCAAGAUCAUCCAGUUAAGGCCCCUAAGGUCACUACGGGGGGAAAAGCCUGGUGAGGGAAGAGAAAGCAUUAGGGGGAGCUGCACCGUGCUGAGAAAUAACACCACACAGAAGUCUGUGUUCUAAUCUCAGCUCUGCUUUGCAUUACUGUGUGACCUGGAGCUGAUCACAGCCCUCUGAGUCUUAAAGGGGUUGGACAAGGCCAACUAAACAUUAGAAACACCUGAAAGUGCUGGUUAAAAGGAAGAAUGCAUGAGCUUCACUCCAGAUUUACUAUAUCAGAAUUUCCAGGGUCAGGGUCCAAGAAUCUGCAUGUUUAAUACGCUUUCCACAUGAUUUUUCCCCCCUCUGGACUUAAGAAAACAAUGGGCAAGUCAGCUCAUGAAGAACUUUUCAGAUAUUCAGACUAUUAUUCUGAGAGAGAAAAUAUUGGCAGAGAACAGAUGGGAUUUUUCUCAAGGAAAAGAAAUGGAAAUCCUACAUCUUGCAAGAAAUAGAAAAAAAUAAAUAAACUGUUUGAAGAAGAAUCACAUCAGGCUGGCAGGAGAGAGCCUGCGGCUCGGUGUCUGACCCAGAAUGUUAAAGCCAGCCUGGCUUGGCUCCAGGAUAAAGGACACUCUGUCAGCCUCUCCACAUUGAUUCAUCUCCCCAGCCCCAAGAUCAGGAGAGCAUUCUGUUCCUUGAAGCAUUUUAUGACUGUAAGUCAGAAGUGCUGCAGUUUUAAUAAAAAGCUGUAUUGUCCUG
Molecule: long non-coding RNA, 1527 nt
Organism: Homo sapiens (human)
Lineage: Eukaryota; Metazoa; Chordata; Mammalia; Primates; Hominidae
Source: Ensembl